RNAcentral lists this ribosomal RNA (440 nucleotides) under uncultured bacterium. RNAcentral describes it as "bacterial SSU rRNA". It matches the Rfam family "Bacterial small subunit ribosomal RNA", at positions 355 to 786 of the family's 1533-position model. The record is from RNAcentral.
UGGGGAAUCUUGCGCAAUGCGCGAAAGCGUGACGCAGCAACGCCGCGUGGGGGAAGACGGCCUUCGGGUUGUAAACCCCUUUCAGUUGGGACGAAGCUUCGACGGUGAAUAGCCGGCUGGAGUGACGGUACCUUCAGAAGAAGCCCCGGCUAACUACGUGCCAGCAGCCGCGGUAAUACGUAGGGGGCAAGCGUUGUCCGGAAUCAUUGGGCGUAAAGCGCGUGUAGGCGGUUCUGUAAGUCUGCUGUGAAAGUCCAGGGCUCAACCCUGGGAUGCCGGUGGAUACUGCAGGGCUAGAGUACGGAAGAGGCGAGUGGAAUUCCCGGUGUAGCGGUGAAAUGCGCAGAUAUCGGGAGGAACACCUAUUGCGAAGGCAGCUCGCUGGGACGUUACUGACGCUGAGACGCGAAAGGCGUGGGGAGCAAACAGGAUUAGAUACC